GAUAUUACAAGACAAUAAAAUUCACUACAAGAAUCGCAAUAUUGUUGAUGUCAUACAGUAAUAAGGAAAAUAUUUACUUUUUCUAGUUGAACAAUACAUUUAUGUUAGGUGAAGAAUAUCAUUGGUGUUCAAAACAUAUUUUAUGCCCCAUUUAUGGGCAUUAUGUUUUCUGGUCUGUGUGUCCAUCCGUUCAUUCCUCCAUCCAUUCGUCUGUCCCUCCAUCCCACUUGACGUUAAAUUUUUGGGCGAGGUAGUUUAUGAUGAAGUUGAAGUCCAAACAACUUGAAACUUAGUAAACAUGUUCCCUAUGAUAUGAUAUUUCUAAUUUUAAUGCCAAAUUAAAGGUUUUUCCCAUUUUCACGGUCCACUGAACAUAGAAAAUGAUAGUACAGAGAUCUGUGUAUUUGGGACACAUUCUUGUUUCAUAUUAUACUACCUGUAGUUGCCAGCA
RNAcentral lists this long non-coding RNA (451 nucleotides) under Mytilus galloprovincialis (Mediterranean mussel). Lineage: Eukaryota; Metazoa; Mollusca; Bivalvia; Mytilida; Mytilidae. The record is from RNAcentral.